Molecule: ribosomal RNA, 925 nt
Filed under: uncultured bacterium
Lineage: Bacteria
Description: bacterial SSU rRNA
Rfam family: Bacterial small subunit ribosomal RNA
Source: RNAcentral
ACGCUGGCGGCAGGCUUAACACAUGCAAGUCGAACGGUAGCAGGAGGAAGCUUGCUUUCUUGCUGACGAGUGGCGGACGGGUGAGUAAUGCUUGGGAAUCUGGCUUAUGGAGGGGGAUAACUACGGGAAACUGUAGCUAAUACCGCGUAGUGUCGAGAGACGAAAGUGCGGGACCGCAAGGCCGCAUGCCAUGAGACGAGCCCAAGUGGGAUUAGGUAGUUGGUGGGGUAAAGGCCUACCAAGCCUGCGAUCUCUAGCUGGUCUGAGAGGAUGGCCAGCCACACUGGAACUGAGACACGGUCCAGACUCCUACGGGAGGCAGCAGUGGGGAAUAUUGCGCAAUGGGGGGAACCCUGACGCAGCCAUGCCGCGUGAAUGAAGAAGGCCUUCGGGUUGUAAAGUUCUUUCGGUAUUGAGGAAGGAGUGUAUGUUAAUAGCAUACAUUAUUGACGUUAAAUACAGAAGAAGCACCGGCUAACUCCGUGCCAGCAGCCGCGGUAAUACGGAGGGUGCGAGCGUUAAUCGGAAUAACUGGGCGUAAAGGGCACGCAGGCGGUUAUUUAAGUGAGGAGUGAAAGCCCCGGGCUUAACCUGGGAAUUGCAUUUCAGACUGGGUAACUAGAGUACUUUAGGGAGGGGUAGAAUUCCACGUGUAGCGGUGAAAUGCGUAGAGAUGUGGAGGAAUACCGAAGGCGAAGGCAGCCCCUUGGGAAUGUACUGACGCUCAUGUGCGAAAGCGUGGGGAGCAAACAGGAUUAGAUACCCUGGUAGUCCACGCUGUAAACGCUGUCGAUUUGGGGAUUGGGCUUAAAGCUUGGUGCCCGUAGCUAACGUGAUAAAUCGACCGCCUGGGGAGUACGGCCGCAAGGUUAAAACUCAAAUGAAUUGACGGGGGCCCGCACAAGCGGUGGAGCAUGUGGUUUAA